Molecule: long non-coding RNA, 278 nt
Filed under: Setaria italica (foxtail millet)
Lineage: Eukaryota; Viridiplantae; Streptophyta; Magnoliopsida; Poales; Poaceae
Description: long non-coding RNA (SITA_LNC003696)
Source: RNAcentral
UUGGCCGCCCCAGCUCCCUCCGGGUUGGACGGUCGAGUAGGAUCCCUCCUCAGACGGCGAGGAAAGGGACCACUGACGUCUUGGCUGGCCUCACCAAGGACGUCCGACCCCUGCGUUAGCUUCCGCUAGUGUUUUACCUUCUGUUGUUUUUCUUUUGAACCUUGUAAAACUCUGAUGAUUUGUUUUUCUGGCUGAAUUAAAUGGUUAAGUUGUUUAACUCGGUGGACUUGUUGAAUUCUCUGGAACCACUCACCGUCGUGUGAGUUUGCUAACUCGAU